ACGGCGAGUGAACAGGGAGAAGCCCAAAUUUGUAAUCUGGCACUUUUUACAAGUGUCCGAGUUGUAAUUUGUAGAACUGUUAUCCGUGCUGGACCAUGUACAAGUCUGUUGAAAAGCAGCAUCAUUGAAGGUGAAAAUCCUGUAGAUGAUAUGGACUACCAGUACUUUUGUGAUACGGUUUCUAAGAGUCGAGUUGUUUGGGAAUGCAGCUCAAAGUGGGUGGUAAAUUCCAUCUAAGGCUAAAUAUAAGUGAGAGACCGAUAGCAAACAAGUACCGUGAGGGAAAGAUGAAAAGAACUUUGAAAAUAGAGUUAACAGUACGUGAAAUUGCUGAAAGGGAAACGUUUGAAGUUAGUUUUGUAUUCGUUGGAUCAGCUUCGCAAGGAGUGUAUUCUGAUGAUASGCAAGUCAACAUCAGUCUAUGAGUGUCGGAGAAGGGUUUUGAGAACGUAGCAAUUCAGUUGUGUUAUAGCUUGAGACUUGGAUACGAUGCUUUGGAUUGAGGAACGCGUAGUAAGC
Molecule: ribosomal RNA, 519 nt
Filed under: Melampsora hypericorum
Lineage: Eukaryota; Fungi; Basidiomycota; Pucciniomycetes; Pucciniales; Melampsoraceae
Description: eukaryotic LSU rRNA
Rfam family: Eukaryotic large subunit ribosomal RNA
Source: RNAcentral